RNAcentral lists this long non-coding RNA (2792 nucleotides) under Bos taurus (domestic cattle). RNAcentral describes it as "long non-coding RNA NONBTAT030506". The record is from RNAcentral. Lineage: Eukaryota; Metazoa; Chordata; Mammalia; Artiodactyla; Bovidae.
GCAAAACUAAUACAAUUAUGUAAAGUUUUAAAAUAAAACAAAAUUUAAAAAAAAUGAGAGUGGAGAAUGAAGCUAAAGGGUCUAAUGUCUAGCUGAUAAUAGUCUCAGGUAGAUAAAUGGGGCAGAAGCAAUAUUUGAAGAAAUACUGAUGAGAAUUUUUAAAUCAAUGAAAAAUAUCAGUUCACAGAUUUUAUCCCAAGUAGGACAAGGAUGAAAUGCUCAGUUGGGUAAACAAUAGUGAAACAGUAGGAUGCUAAGGACAAAAAGUUGUGAAAGCAGCCAACAGAAGUCGUGUAAUAACUUUCAGAGCAGAGCCAGCUAGACUUUUCUUUAGCUGACUUCUCAACAGCAGCAGUGGAAGCCAGAAACCAGUUGGAUAACUGUCUACAAUGUGUGAGAGAAAAAUAAUUUUCAACUUAAAAUUCUACACUCAGCAAAUUUAUCUCAAGAAUGAUGGUUGAAUACAGUUUCAGACGGCAAAGCAUGAGCAUGGUUGCCCCCUGCAGGCUCGUUCUUAUUAAAGGAAAUGCUUUAUAUGGUAUAUAGAAAGGUAAUGAAAGACGGAAUAAAAGACCAAAACUGUUACUUAGAUUAAUCUAAAGGAACAUUUACCAUAUGGAACAGUAAUGAUGUUUCCUGGGGUUAAGAAGUGAGGGAUUUAAAAACACAAGAAUAACAUACAAGUUGGUAGAGUAGUGAUUGGAACAAAAUCCAUUACUUUUUUUUCAUUAAAAGGAUUAAAGAGUACAAAUGCAAGCCUCAGAGUAUGAAGAAAUGGUUGCACCUCAGAUAAUGGCCAAAGAAAUAAUACUCAGAACAUCUAAAUUCCUACAUAUCAGUGAGAAAGAUGUAAAAUCAAAUAGAAAAUAGGCAAAAAAACUUGAACAAGAAAUUCACAAAUAGGAAACCCACAUGAUCAGUAAACAUAAAAGAUAUCCUUUGCCUCAUUUGUAAUAGAGAAAUGAAAAUAUAAAUCAGUGGUACUGCAUCACACAACUUCCAGAUUAAAAUAAGGAAGUUGACAAAUAACAAAUGCUGUCAAAGAUAGGAAGUAAUGGAAACUCUGUUAUCCUACUAAUAGGAUUAUAACCUCUUUGGAAAACAUUUUGACAUUCUCUUACAAAUUUGAAGGUGUUAUAGUAAACCCACUCAAGCACUCUUGCCUGGAAAAUUCCAUGGAUGGAGGAGCCUGGUAGGCUACAGCCAGGAAAAGAGUUGGACAUGACUGAGCGACUUCCCUUUCCUUUCCUUUCCAUAGUCUGUACUUCCUGUUGCAUUAUGAGGUGGGAAUUGAGUACAGACUUUGCUGCCCACUAUAUGGACUUGAUUCCCAUCUUUCUAGUUCUGUGACCUUGAGCAUAUGACUUUAUACAUAAAAAGAGUAAGAUUUUGUCUCUCCUCCCCUAGCCCCUUCCUGCAAGAAUCAGUUUUUGCCCUCUUAAGAUUUUUGUGAGGGUUAAGUGAGUUAAUCUAUGUGAACUACUCAGAACAGUACCUGGAAAAUAAUAAACACUAUAAAGUGUUUGCUAUCAUUGUUACUUGCUAAUCCUAUUGUUAUUAAUAUUACUUUACCACCAACAAAACCAAUCCUGCGUAUACUUGUGGAAGAUUAGGAUGCUGUACAAGAAUGUUCAUGUGAAGUGAGAAUUAUUUUAGCAGCUACAAGUUGGAAACGGUCCUAAUGUCCUUCAUCAGUAGAAUGGAUAAGAAGUUAUGGUAUAGUCAUGUAGAAAUGAAACGGAACCGUAUACCUUCUCAUAAUACUAAUUGAAAGAAGUCAAAUACAUAUAGUAUGAAUUCAUUUGAAGAAGUUCAAAAACAGGCCAAAUGAAACAAAAGUUGUAAGAGAUGCAGAUAUUAAUGGUAAACUUGUCAAGAAAAGCAAGUAAAUAAUAGUCAUAAAAACUGGGAGGAUGGUUGUUUGCAUGGGAACAAGGUCGUGUGACUGGGAAUGGACACAUGGGGUCUUCUGUGGUCCUGGGAGGCAGUGUUUUAUAUUUUGGGUGAUGUUCGUGUGAAUAUUUAUCAUUAUUCUUUAAUUAUGUUUUAUGCAUUCUCCUGUAUAUGUGGUAUACCUCACUGUUUCAUUUUUUAAACUAGUAAAAACUUUGCAAGUGGGAAAGCUAGCUAUUGUUCAAAAUAACAGCAAAGGAAACAGAAAUAAUAAAAAUCUCUAAAUAAACUGAAAGAUUUUUGGAGACAUUUGCUUAAGGUCAUAGAAAAAAGGUAAGAUCGUUGAAGAAGAUACCAAUAACCUCCUGCCCUGCCCAAUACCCAGCAUAGUGGGCCUUGUUUAAAGAGCAUUUCACCAUUGACUAUGGUGUUGGAUUUUUAAAACUACAAAUUACUGGGUAAUUAUUUUCCUUCUUUAUUGGUAUGGGAUAGAUUACCAGUUUAGAGGCUUAGAGUUUUUAAAAGCUCUUUAGGAAAUUUUGACAUAUUUCUGAGAUUGAGUUUUACUGCUUUACAAAAACAACAGUCCAUCAUUAAAUAAAACCAAUAAAGCAGGGAAAUAAUUAUUUUAUUUCAAUUAAGGAGCAACCACAAGUUUUCUUUCCAUCAGCUUAGUUAGCUCCCCUCUUUCUUUUAGCAUAAACCAACUCCACAAUUUCGAUGUAUUCAUAACAUUUCAUGAAGUUGGUGAAAAUGGUGAUGUAAGAACUUACCCAUUUGUGAGAGAAAUAAAAGUGUUAGUUCUGUGUCUGCACUUGUUGCUUUAAUUCAUCUGUUAUAAAAGUCUUUGCUUUCUAGCCCUGGCACCAUUUUAUAUUGAUAUGUUUCAAAUAAACUUG